This 459-nucleotide ribosomal RNA is filed under the name uncultured bacterium. Its description in RNAcentral is "partial 16S ribosomal RNA". It matches the Rfam family "Bacterial small subunit ribosomal RNA", at positions 338 to 795 of the family's 1533-position model. The record is from RNAcentral.
CCUACGGGAGGCAGCAGUGAGGAAUAUUGGUCAAUGGGCGGAAGCCUGAACCAGCCAAGCCGCGUGAAGGAAGACGGUACUUAGUAUUGUAAACUUCUUUUGUCGGGGAACAAAGGCGGAGACGCGUCUCCGGAUGAGUGUACACGAAGAAAAAGCAUCGGCUAACUCCGUGCCAGCAGCCGCGGUAAUACGGAGGAUGCGAGCGUUAUCCGGAUUUAUUGGGUUUAAAGGGUGCGCAGGCGGGAGAUCAAGUCAGCGGUAAAAUGUCGGGGCUCAACUCGGGCCGGCCGUUGAAACUGGUUUUCUAGAGUGGAAGAGAGGUAGGCGGAAUGCGUGGUGUAGCGGUGAAAUGCAUAGAUAUCACGAAGAACACCGAUGGCGAAGGCAGCCUACCGGGUUCAUACUGACGCUGAGGCACGAAAGCGUGGGGAGCGAACAGGAUUAGAUACCCGAGUAGUC